AACAGGGAGAGCCUGGUUCCAGAGGGGGUGAUGGCAUGCCUGGUAAAGAUGGCGGAAGGGGUCCCGUAGGAUCCAUCGGACCCCCUGGUCCAGCUGGCCAAUCUGGUGAUAAGGGAGAGCCCGGUUCAGCCGGACCUCCUGGCCCAACAGGUCCUCGUGGUGGCCCCG
Gekko japonicus is the source of this 168-nucleotide long non-coding RNA. RefSeq lists it as uncharacterized. The transcript has 3 exons. Lineage: Eukaryota; Metazoa; Chordata; Lepidosauria; Squamata; Gekkonidae. The record is from RefSeq and is a predicted model, not a curated record.